This 497-nucleotide ribosomal RNA is filed under the name uncultured bacterium. RNAcentral describes it as "partial 16S ribosomal RNA". It matches the Rfam family "Bacterial small subunit ribosomal RNA", at positions 28 to 507 of the family's 1533-position model. The record is from RNAcentral.
GAUGAACGCUGGCGGCGUGCCUAAUACAUGCAAGUCGAGCGAACGGACGAGAAGCUUGCUUCUCUGAUGUUAGCGGCGGACGGGUGAGUAACACGUGGAUAACCUACCUAUAAGACUGGGAUAACUUCGGGAAACCGGAGCUAAUACCGGAUGAUAUUUUGAACCGCAUGGUUCAAAAGUGAAAGACGGUCUUGCUGUCACUUCUAGAUGGAUCCGCGCUGCAUUAGCUAGUUGGUAAGGUAACGGCUUACCAAGGCAACGAUGCAUAGCCGACCUGAGAGGGUGAUCGGCCACACUGGAACUGGGACACGGUCCAGACUCCUACGGGAGGCAGCAGUAGGGAAUCUGCCGCAAUGGGCGAAAGCCUGACGGAGCAACGCCGCGUGAGUGAUGAAGGUCUUCGGAUCGUAAAACUCUGUUAUUAGGGAAGAACAUAUGUGUAAGUAACUGUGCACAUCUUGACGGUACCUAAUCAGAAAGCCACGGCUAACUACGUG